ACUCAAAUGAAUUGACGGGGGCCCGCACAAGCGGUGGAGCAUGUGGUUUAAUUCGAUGCAACGCGAAGAACCUUACCUACCCUUGACAUCCUGAGAAUCUUGUAGAGAUAUGAGAGUGCCGAAAGGAACUCAGAGACAGGUGCUGCAUGGCUGUCGUCAGCUCGUGUUGUGAGAUGUUGGGUUAAGUCCCGUAACGAGCGCAACCCUUAUCCUUAGUUACCAACACGUUAUGGUGGGGACUCUAAGGAGACUGCUGGUGAUGAACCGGAGGAAGGCGGGGACGACGUCAAGUCAUCAUGGCCUUUAUGGGUAGGGCCACACACGUGCUACAAUGGUCGGUACAGAGGGCAGCCAACCCGCGAGGGGGAGCCAAUCUCACAAAGCCGAUCGUAGUCCGGAUUGGAGUCUGCAACUCGACUCCAUGAAGUUGGAAUCGCUAGUAAUCGCAAAUCAGAAUGUUGCGGUGAAUACGUUCCCGGGCCUUGCACACACCGCCCGU
Molecule: ribosomal RNA, 499 nt
Filed under: uncultured bacterium
Lineage: Bacteria
Description: partial 16S ribosomal RNA
Rfam family: Bacterial small subunit ribosomal RNA
Source: RNAcentral